GACGAACGCUGGCGGCGUGCUUAACACAUGCAAGUCGAACGGAAAGGCCCUGCUUUUGUGGGGUGCUCGAGUGGCGAACGGGUGAGUAACACGUGAGUAACCUGCCCUUGACUUUGGGAUAACUUCAGGAAACUGGGGCUAAUAACGGAUAGGAGCUCCUGCUGCAUGGUGGGGGUUGGUAAGUUUCGGCGGUUGGGGAUGUACUCGAGGCUUAUCAGCUUGUUGGUGGGGUAGUGGCUUACCAAGGCUUGGACGGGUAGCCGGCCUGAGAGGGUGACCGGCCACAUUGGGACUGAGAUACGGCCCAGACUCCUACGGGAGGCAGCAGUGGGGAAUAUUGCACAAUGGGCGGAAGCCUGAUGCAGCAACGCCGCGUGCGGGAUGACGGCCUUCGGGUUGUAAACCGCUUUCGCCUGUGACGAAGCGUGAGUGACGGUAAUGGGUAAAGAAGCACCGGCUAACUACGUG
This 468-nucleotide ribosomal RNA is filed under the name uncultured bacterium. RNAcentral's name for it is "partial 16S ribosomal RNA". It matches the Rfam family "Bacterial small subunit ribosomal RNA", at positions 28 to 507 of the family's 1533-position model. The record is from RNAcentral.